AACAAGAGGGGAGCUUGUGGGAAACAGGCUGAGAACAGACUGUAUUGUCUGGACCCGUUACCUGAUUUGGAUAAUGCCAACGUAGGGAUAUAA
Molecule: non-coding RNA, 93 nt
Filed under: uncultured Eubacterium sp.
Lineage: Bacteria; Bacillati; Bacillota; Clostridia; Eubacteriales; Eubacteriaceae
Source: RNAcentral